This 460-nucleotide ribosomal RNA is filed under the name uncultured bacterium. RNAcentral describes it as "partial 16S ribosomal RNA". It matches the Rfam family "Bacterial small subunit ribosomal RNA", at positions 338 to 795 of the family's 1533-position model. The record is from RNAcentral.
CCUACGGGAGGCUGCAGUGAGGAAUAUUGGUCAAUGGACGAGAGUCUGAACCAGCCAAGUAGCGUGAAGGAUGACUGCCCUAUGGGUUGUAAACUUCUUUUAUAUGGGAAUAAAAUGUUCCACGUGUGGGACCUUGUAUGUACCAUAUGAAUAAGGCUCGGCUAACUCCGUGCCAGCAGCCGCGGUAAUUCGGAGGAUCCGAGCGUUUUCCGGAUUUAUUGGGGUUAAAGGGAUCGUAGGUGGAUUGUUAAGUCAGUUGUGCAAGUUUGCGGCUCAACCGUAUAAUUGCAGUUGAAACUGGCAGUCUUGAGUACAGUAGAGGUGGGCGGAAUGCGUGGUGUAGCGGUGAAAUGCUUAGAUAUCACGAAGAACUCCGAUUGCGAAGGCAGUUCACUGGACUGCAACUGACACUGAGGCUCGAAAGUGUGGGUAUCAAACAGGAUUAGAUACCCUUGUAGUC